AGGACUAACGCUGGCGGCGUGCCUAACACAUGCAAGUCGAACGAGAGUAGCAAUACUCUAGUGGCAGACGGGUGAGUAACACGUGGUCAACCUACCUCUAUGUGGGGGAUAACUAGCCGAAAGGUUAGCUAAUACCGCAUACGAUCGUCGAGCGGCAUCGCUUGACGAUGAAAGGAGCAAUCCGCAGAGAGACGGGACCGCGUCCCAUUAGCUAGUUGGUGGGGUAAUGGCCUACCAAGGCGACGAUGGGUAGCUGGCUUGAGAGAGCGACCAGCCACACUGGGACUGAGACACGGCCCAGACUCCUACGGGAGGCAGCAGUGAGGAAUUUUCCGCAAUGGGCGAAAGCCUGACGGAGCGACGCCGCGUGUGGGAAGAAGGCCUUCGGGUCGUAACCACUGUCGAAGGGGAAGAUAUUGACGGUACCCUUGGAGGAAGCCCGGCUAACUACGUGCCAGCAGCCGC
RNAcentral lists this ribosomal RNA (465 nucleotides) under uncultured bacterium. RNAcentral's name for it is "SSU rRNA". It matches the Rfam family "Bacterial small subunit ribosomal RNA", at positions 26 to 518 of the family's 1533-position model. The record is from RNAcentral.